GUCCAGUGUAGCCUAGUGGUCAUAGCAUCUGCCUGUUAAGCGGAACACUGUGGGUUCGAUUCCCAUCCCUGGACA
This 75-nucleotide transfer RNA is filed under the name Cordylochernes scorpioides. RNAcentral describes it as "tRNA-Asn". It matches the Rfam family "tRNA". Rfam says of the family: Transfer RNA (tRNA) molecules are approximately 80 nucleotides in length. Their secondary structure includes four short double-helical elements and three loops (D, anti-codon, and T loops). Further hydrogen bonds mediate the characteristic L-shaped molecular structure. tRNAs have two regions of fundamental functional importance: the anti-codon, which is responsible for specific mRNA codon recognition, and the 3' end, to which the tRNAs corresponding amino acid is attached (by aminoacyl-tRNA synthetases). tRNAs cope with the degeneracy of the genetic code in two manners: having more than one tRNA (with a specific anti-codon) for a particular amino acid; and 'wobble' base-pairing, i.e. permitting non-standard base-pairing at the 3rd anti-codon position. Lineage: Eukaryota; Metazoa; Arthropoda; Arachnida; Pseudoscorpiones; Chernetidae. The record is from RNAcentral.